RNAcentral lists this ribosomal RNA (468 nucleotides) under uncultured bacterium. RNAcentral's name for it is "partial 16S ribosomal RNA". It matches the Rfam family "Bacterial small subunit ribosomal RNA", at positions 28 to 507 of the family's 1533-position model. The record is from RNAcentral.
GACGAACGCUGGCGGCGUGCUUAACACAUGCAAGUCGAACGGAAAGGCGCUGCUUUUGCGGGGCGCUCGUGUGGCGAGCAGGUGAGUAACACACGUGUAACCCGCACCUGACUUUGUGAUAAAUUCAGGGAAAUGGGGAUCAUACCGGAUAUGAGAUCCUGAUGCAUGGUGGUGGAUGGAGAGAUUCGGCGGUUCGGGAUCGAAUCGAGGCUUAUCCGCUAGUUGGUCGGGUAGGUGCUGACAAGGUCUUUGAAGGGUAGGCGGCAUUGGAGGGUGGCCGGCCACAUUGGGACUGAGAGACGCCGCAGACUCCUACCGGACGCAGCGGUGGGGAAUAUUGCGGAGUGGGCGGAAGCCAGAUGCAGCAAUGCCGCGUGCGGGAUGACGUCCUUCUGGUUGUAAACCGCUGUCUACGGAGACGUACACUGAGUGACGGUAAUGGGUAAGGAAGCAACGGCUAACUACGUG